AGAGCCUGCUCGCAUUGAGGAGGAAGAGGUCUGUACUGCUCACUGCUGCUCUGUGCUCUGGGCCCGGGUCUGCUGCUGACCUUGCUUCCUGGGCUGCGGGUUCUUGCCUCUCCCCACCCCAUCACUUAAGCAUAGACCCUUUCCCAGAAGAGCUCCUGGCAGCUGCUACAGAAAUGGGGUCCUGGGGCUGCCCCGAUAGGGCCUGCUGGUCUUUUGGCAGAGGCAGCACAUCUCUGCCCCCACUGCGGCCUUUCUUGUAGAGGACAAACAGAGGGCCAACGCCAGGCCAUCCGUGUUCAUUCUCUGCAGCUGUGACUGCCCCACGCCUCAGAUACCUCCCAGCUCCUCUUCUGCCUCUGCUACCCUGGCAGGCGGAGGGACCUCAAAAAGAAACCAAAAGGAGCUGUCUGUGGCUGGCCUUGCUGUGCCGCAAGCACACAGACGGCUCAAGCCCUCCCAAACACAGUGUCUGCUCUGUUUCCAGCUGACCCUCACCAUCGUGCGCCAGACUGGGGGCCUUGGCAUCAGCAUCGCAGGGGGCAAGGGUUCCACCCCCUACAAGGGAGAUGACGAGGUGAGCAGCUGCCCCAGGCUAUAGCUGCCCUGGGCUCCCUCCUGCCCCAGACCUGCCUACACUCACUGGCCCAGAGGCUUCUGCUCCAAGGGGUGUUGGAUGCCUGCCGCCAGCCCCACAGUUCAGUCUUCUGUGUGCUUUGCCUGCACUUGGCCACCAGCCCCAGAGUGCACAGGCUGGGCCCAAGGCAGCAGGCAGACGGGGAUGUGCGCACGUGGGAGUUCACAGUCUAGAGCAGCUUGUUUCUCUUCUGCAAUCUGGUCUUCCCUCACACACUCUGGGCGUAGUGCCCGGGUCAAAGCCCUGACCCGCACUUUCUACUUCCUGGACGUAGGACCCACAGUGGUCUCUACUUAGGCCGUAUGUCUUCCUUCAUGUUCUUGGGGAUCUUUGCAGCAUCCCCAGAGAGCAGGCUGGGCUAGGGUCUGAAGGGACCAGGUCUCCCUCCAGUAAGUGCCUCCUGGCCUCCCAGAAAGGGCAAGACAGAAGGCUCUUAAGGAAUCCCCAACUCCUGUCCCCAGGGUGUCUUCAUUUCUCGGGUGUCUGAGGAGGGCCCUGCGGCCCGGGCUGGAGUCCGAGUGGGCGACAAACUCCUUGAGGUGAGUAGUGACUGCUGGCCAGUGACACCUGUGCUCUGGGGUGCCAUCUGGGCUGUUGGGGUAUUUAGUUGUGCCUAUCGGAUGGGGGCACUGUCUACCCUCUCCAGAAGCCCUGAGCCCCAGACCCCAGGACUCCCCCAAACCCUCUUUGGGCAGGAUGUGUAGUGCAGGCACCUAAAACCCCAGAAUCGGGAGGGCUGGGAAAGGGGUCAGACCCCAGCAGGUUGUGGGGCUCAGAUCCUUGUGAGAGACUUGGCACCCCCACCAGGGCACCUGGCUGUUGGAUAUAGGCUGUGCCCUUCCUGUGGGGACAAGGGUGAGGGCCCUGAGGGUAUCAGAAGAGGCUGGUGCUCCUCCUGCUCUCCUGCUCAGCUCUCUUCCCAGCCUCUCUUGGGGGCUCCUGUCCAAGGUGGCGUGUGAGUGUGGGGUCGGUGACCUGGUAAUCCUGGGCAUUCUCUGGGGCUGCUCAGACAGACCCAGAUGGUAGGUUUCCAGAAGCAAGGUGAGUGGUGUGGACUGUUCCAGGGGCAGAUGCCUGUGCUCUGGGAACCGCCAUAGGUGGGGACGAAGCCCAUCAGGAGCUCUGGGUACCCCCUCUCCCUGCCCUUCCCAUCCAUGGAGGGAAGCGUGGGCAGAGGCCACACGAGCCGUUGUCAUGGCGUCAGUGCUCAGGUGUCGGGGUGGCCGCAGCUGGGUGCUGACGUGUGCCGGGCCUCCCACACCUACAGGUGAACGGCGUGGCUUUGCAGGACGCUGAGCACCAUGAGGCUGUGGAGGCCCUCCGAGGGGCAGGCACAGCCGUGCAGAUGCGUGUGUGGCGGGAACGCAUGGUAGAACCUGAGAACGCAGUCACCAUCACACCCCUGCGGCCCGAGGACGACUACAGCCCCCGAGAGCGGCGGGGAGGCGGCCUGCGCCUGCCCCUGCUGCAGCCGGAGCUCCCUGGGCCUGUGCGCCAGUGCCAUGUGGCCUGCCUGGUGCGCAGCGAGAAGGGGCUGGGCUUCAGCAUUGCUGGGGGGAAAGGCUCCACACCCUACCGGGCCGGUGACGGGGUAAGGCAGGGUGGCUGGGGGUGCAGGGAGGGCUCUGGGGCAUCCGUGCCUGCUGGCCGUGCCUGCUGGCCUCACGGUGGCGGCUCCCCCAUCCCUGCAGGGCAUCUUCGUCUCCCGCAUUGCCGAGGGUGGUGCUGCCCAUCGAGCAGGCUCGCUGCAGGUUGGCGACCGUGUUCUCUCGGUGAGUGGGAUGGGCAGGGCCUGCUCAGUGCCUUGUCCUGCCCACCCUUUCUCACCUGAGUGUCCCUCACAGAUCAACGGGGUGGACGUGACUGAGGCCAGGCAUGACCAUGCUGUGUCACUGCUGACUGCUGCCUCCCCCACCAUCGCCCUGCUGCUGGAACGGGAGACAGGGGGACCCCCUCCCUCCAGCACCCCCCCACUUUCCUCCCCAACUCCCACUGUUGCUGCUGCCACCACCACGACCACUGCUGCCCCUGGAGAGCCUGGGCUGCCCAGGCUGGCCCCUGCUCUCCUGGCUGCUGCCCUAGAAGGACCGUACCCAGUGGAGGUGAGCCUCCAGCUGCCCCCUGCCAGGCAUCCGCUCAGCUCUGCUGUGGGUGUGCACUCUCCCAGAGCCCCUGCUCAUGGCCCUGCAGCCACUCUGGGCAGAAAGGAACUUGCACAUUUUUCCCCAUGUGCCUGAGAAACGGAGCCCUCCUCCACGAGGUGACUCCUUGCUGUGGUCCACCUGCCCCACACCACCUCCCUGCCAGGCCACCCAUGAGGACACAGGCUUUAGCUGCAUGGGUGUCUGGGCAGUGGGGUUUUGCAGAGGCAAUGGGAAUCCCUGCAGGUGCCUGGGGCUCCCCGAACUCUGUUCCCAACCACAGAGACCAGCAGUUCCCCUACUUCUUUCCACUCUUUCCCUUCUCUGAGGCCUGUCCCAUGUCCCCAGGAGGUUCGUCUGCCUAGGGCUGGGGGCCCCCUGGGGCUCAGCAUUGUUGGGGGCUCCGACCAUUCCAGCCACCCGUUUGGUGUCCAGGAGCCCGGCGUAUUCAUCUCCAAGGUAGAUAGAGGCCCUGGUGGGUGGAUCUGGACAGAGGGGACCUAUCCUGCCCACCCUGGGGGGCCCACCGGCUGCUGCCUUCCUCUUCAACAGGUGCUCCCACGCGGCCUGGCCGCUCGCUGUGGCCUGCGGGUGGGGGACCGCAUUCUGGCAGUAAAUGGGCAGGAUGUUCGGGAGGCCACUCACCAAGAGGCGGUCAGUGCCCUGCUCCGGCCCUGCCUAGAACUGUCCCUGGUGGUGCGGAGGGACCCUCCACCUCCAGGCAUGCGGGAGCUCUGCAUCCAGAAGGCCCCUGGGGAGAAGCUGGGGAUCAGCAUCCGUGGGGGUGCCAAGGGCCAUGCAGGGAACCCCUGCGACCCCACAGACGAGGGCAUCUUCAUUUCCAAGGUAAGGACCCUGCCCUUCUGCUUCUGUGGGCAGGUCCCAGUUCAGAGUCUCAGGUGGGUCUCUCCACAGGUAAGCCCUACGGGGGCAGCCGGGCGUGACGGCCGGCUGCACGUGGGGCUCCGGCUGCUGGAGGUGAACCAGCAGAGCCUGCUGGGCCUGACACACGCAGAGGCCGUGCAGCUGCUGCGCAGCGUGGGUGACAGCCUGACCGUGCUCGUCUGUGAGGGGUUUGACACCAGUGCCACCACAGCCUUGGAGGUUAG
RNAcentral lists this long non-coding RNA (3884 nucleotides) under Marmota monax (woodchuck). Lineage: Eukaryota; Metazoa; Chordata; Mammalia; Rodentia; Sciuridae. The record is from RNAcentral.